UUUUUUUUUUUUUUUUUUUUUUCCAAUGGCUGCACCUGUGGUAUAUAGAAGUUCCCAGGCUAGGGGUCAAAUUGGAACCACAGCUGUAGGUCUGUGCCACAGCCAUGGCAACAUGGGAUCUGAGCCAUAUCUGUGAUCUACACUACAGCUUACAGCAACACCAGAUCCUUAACCCACUGAGUGAGGGAUUGAAUCUACGUCUUCAUGGAGACUAUGCCAGGUUCUUAGCCCACUGAGCCACAGAGAGAACUCCCUGUUUUUAAUUGUUCAUUCAAAAUUUUGUACUCAUUUUCUAAAAAAGGGAGUCUCCUCAAACUGUAUUAAGAUCCAAGCCCCAGAGAUUCGGGCUCUGUCUGUGCCUUCCUCACUACCGGCCUCUCCUUUCAGCCUCUUCUGCUGGGUCUUCCUCAUCUACCAGAUCUCCUAGUUUUUCCUCUGGCCUGUCUAUACCUAUUCUCCAACGGAUAUCAUGCUGUCCUCACGGCUUUAAAUAUAACAUGCUGCCCACACCCAAAGUGUAUCUCUAGCCCAAACUUCUCUCUAAUUUCACAUAUUCAACUACCACUUAGCUCCGCCCCUUGCCUCUCUGAUUUUACCUCCUCUCACUCUCUGCUCCCAGCUGCUUGUUGGACCCUGUCAGUAUGCAUUUGCACAUGUGCUUCUCUUUGUCUGGAACACCUGUUCCCCACUGACCUAAAUGGCUUGCUCCCCACCACCUUUAGGGCUUUACUUCACAGUUCCCUCAUUCCUGGGGGUGUUCUCUAACCUAUUUUUUUUUUUUUUUUUUUGGCCGUGCCCAUGGCAUGUGGAAGUUCCGGGGCCAGAGAGCAAACCUGCGCCACAGCAUGUGCCAGAUCCUUAACCCUCUGAGCCACCAGGGCACUCCCCGCUAACCUAUUUCAAUAUCAAUUCUUUUCCACAAGUCCACUUCUCCCAUUUAUAUUCUCUCUCCACUGACCGACUAGAAUGUAAGCUUCCUGAGGGCAGGGAGUUGACUUUUUUGUUUCCUGCUGGGUUCCCAGGAAGCAGAGCAAUAUGGCAGAUACUGAGUGAAUAUCUGUUAAAUGAAUGAAUGAGUAAAAAAAUAAAAUGAAUACAUUCAUCUAAGUUUCACGAGGGCAUGGCAUUCCUAGCACCAAACACAGUCCCUGCCUUGGGUUUGGAAGACCUUCACAAGUGUUUGCUGAAUGGCUGAAUGACUUCAGGCAGAGCAGCGGAGGAGAAAUGAAGCUAGUUAAGAAAAGGGAAAUGGGGAGUUCCCGUCGUGGCUCAGUGGUUAACGAAUCCGACUAAGAACCAUUAGGUUGCGGGUUUGAUCCCUGGCCUCACUCAGUGGGUUAAGGAUCCGGCAUUGCCAUGAGCUGUGGUGUAGGUAGCAGACGCGGCUCGGAUCCUGCGUUGCUGUGGCUCUGGCGUAGGCCAGUGGCUACAGCUCCAACUUGACCCCAAGCCUGGGAACCUCCAUAUGCCGCGGGAACGG
RNAcentral lists this long non-coding RNA (1480 nucleotides) under Sus scrofa (pig). Its description in RNAcentral is "lncRNA (ENSSSCG00005019221.1)". Lineage: Eukaryota; Metazoa; Chordata; Mammalia; Artiodactyla; Suidae. The record is from RNAcentral.